Molecule: ribosomal RNA, 468 nt
Filed under: uncultured bacterium
Lineage: Bacteria
Description: partial 16S ribosomal RNA
Rfam family: Bacterial small subunit ribosomal RNA
Source: RNAcentral
GACGAACGCUGGCGGCGUGCUUAACACAUGCAAGUCGAACGGAAAGGCCCUGCUUUUGUGGGGUGCUCGAGUGGCGAACGGGUGAGUAACACGCGAGUAACCUGCCCUUGACUUUGGGAUAACUUCAGGAAACUGGGGCUAAUACCGGAUAGGAGCUCCUGCUGCAUGGGGGGGGUUGGAAAGUUUCGGCGGUUGGGGAUGGACUCGAGGCUUAUCAGCUUGUUGGGGGGGUAGUGGAUUACCAAGGCUUUGACGGGUAGCCGGCCUGAGAGGGUGACCGGCCACAUUGGGCCUGAGAUACGGCCCAGACUCCUACGGGAGGCAGCAGUGGGGAAUAUUGCACAAUGGGCGGAAGCCUGAUGCAGAAACGCCGCGUGCGGGAUGACGGCCUUCGGGUUGUAAACCGCUUUCGCCUGUGACGAAGCGUGAGUGACGGUAAUGGGUAAAGAAGCACCGGCUAACUACGUG